Molecule: ribosomal RNA, 427 nt
Filed under: uncultured bacterium
Lineage: Bacteria
Description: partial 16S ribosomal RNA
Rfam family: Bacterial small subunit ribosomal RNA
Source: RNAcentral
UGGGGAAUAUUGCACAAUGGGCGCAAGCCUGAUGCAGCCAUGCCGCGUGUAUGAAGAAGGCCUUCGGGUUGUAAAGUACUUUCAGCGAGGAGGAAGGCGUUGUGGUUAAUAACCGCAGCGAUUGACGUUACUCGCAGAAGAAGCACCGGCUAACUCCGUGCCAGCAGCCGCGGUAAUACGGAGGGUGCAAGCGUUAAUCGGAAUUACUGGGCAUAAAGCGCACGCAGGCGGUCUGUCAAGUCGGAUGUGAAAUCCCCGGGCUCAACCUGGGAACUGCAUCCGAAACUGGCAGGCUAGAGUCUUGUAGAGGGGGGUAGAAUUCCAGGUGUAGCGGUGAAAUGCGUAGAGAUCUGGAGGAAUACCGGUGGCGAAGGCGGCCCCCUGGACAAAGACUGACGCUCAGGUGCGAAAGCGUGGGGAGCAAACA